Molecule: ribosomal RNA, 371 nt
Filed under: uncultured organism
Description: partial 16S ribosomal RNA
Rfam family: Bacterial small subunit ribosomal RNA
Source: RNAcentral
GUAGGUGGCAAGCGUUGUCCGGAAUUAUUGGGCGUAAAAGCGCGCGCAGGCGGUCCUUUAAGUCUGGGUGUGAAAGCCCAGGCUCAACCGUGGAGGGUCGUUGGAAACUGGGGGACUUGAGUACAGAAGAGGAAAGCGGAAUUCCAAGUGUAGCGGUGAAAUGCGUAGAGAUUUGGAGGAACACCAGUGGCGAAGGCGGCUUUCUGGUCUGUAACUGACGCUGAGGCGCGAAAGCGUGGGGAGCAAACAGGAUUAGAUACCCUGGUAGUCCACGCCGUAAACGAUGAGUGCUAAGUGUUAGGGGGUUUCCGCCCUUAGUGCUGCAGCUAACGCAUUAAGCACUCCGCCUGGGGAGUACGGUCGCAAGGCUG